Molecule: ribosomal RNA, 1443 nt
Filed under: uncultured organism
Description: SSU rRNA
Rfam family: Bacterial small subunit ribosomal RNA
Source: RNAcentral
CAGGCUUAACACAUGCAAGUCGAGGGGCAUCAGGAAGAAAGCUUGCUUUCUUUGCUGGCGACCGGCGCACGGGUGAGUAACACGUAUCCAACCUGCCCUUUACUCGGGGAUAGCCUUUCGAAAGAAAGAUUAAUACCCGAUAGCAUAAUGAUUCCGCAUGGUUUCAUUAUUAAAGGAUUCCGGUAAAGGAUGGGGAUGCGUUCCAUUAGGUUGUUGGUGAGGUAACGGCCCACCAAGCCUUCGAUGGAUAGGGGUUCUGAGAGGAAGGUCCCCCACAUUGGAACUGAGACACGGUCCAAACUCCUACGGGAGGCAGCAGUGAGGAAUAUUGGUCAAUGGGCGCUAGCCUGAACCAGCCAAGUAGCGUGAAGGAUGAAGGCUCUAUGGGUCGUAAACUUCUUUUAUAUAAGAAUAAAGUGCAGUAUGUAUACUGUUUUGUAUGUAUUAUAUGAAUAAGGAUCGGCUAACUCAGUGCCAGCAGCCGCGGUAAUACGGAGGAUCCGAGCGUUAUCCGGAUUUAUUGGGUUUAAAGGGAGCGUAGGUGGACUGGUAAGUCAGUUGUGAAAGUUUGCGGCUCAACCGUAAAAUUGCAGUUGAUACUGUCAGUCUUGAGUACAGUAGAGGUGGGCGGAAUUCGUGGUGUAGCGGUGAAAUGCUUAGAUAUCACGAAGAACUCCGAUUGCGAAGGCAGCUCACUGGACUGCAACUGACACUGAUGCUCGAAAGUGUGGGUAUCAAACAGGAUUAGAUACCCUGGUAGUCCACACAGUAAACGAUGAAUACUCGCUGUUUGCGAUAUACAGUAAGCGGCCAAGCGAAAGCAUUAAGUAUUCCACCUGGGGAGUACGCCGGCAACGGUGAAACUCAAAGGAAUUGACGGGGGCCCGCACAAGCGGAGGAACAUGUGGUUUAAUUCGAUGAUACGCGAGGAACCUUACCCGGGCUUAAAUUGCAGUGGAAUGAUGUGGAAACAUGUCAGUGAGCAAUCACCGCUGUGAAGGUGCUGCAUGGUUGUCGUCAGCUCGUGCCGUGAGGUGUCGGCUUAAGUGCCAUAACGAGCGCAACCCUUAUCUUUAGUUACUAACAGGUUAUGCUGAGGACUCUGGAGAGACUGCCGUCGUAAGAUGUGAGGAAGGUGGGGAUGACGUCAAAUCAGCACGGCCCUUACGUCCGGGGCUACACACGUGUUACAAUGGGGGGUACAGAAGGCAGCUACCUGGCGACAGGAUGCUAAUCCCAAAAACCUCUCUCAGUUCGGAUCGAAGUCUGCAACCCGACUUCGUGAAGCUGGAUUCGCUAGUAAUCGCGCACCAGCCAUGGCGCGGUGAAUACGUUCCCGGGCCUUGUACACACCGCCCGUCAAGCCAUGAAAGCCGGGGGUACCUGAAGUACGUAACCGCAAGGAGCGUCCUAGGGUAAAACUGGUAAUUGGGGCUAAGUCAU